GUCAGAUAAUUUCUUAUGUUAUUUGUAUUCUUUACUUCUCAUAGUUAUGCAUGACUUGCGACUUAUUCACACAGAUCUGAAGCCAGAAAAUAUUUUUCUUGUUUCUGUAGAAUAUGUGAAGGUGCCUGAUUCUAAGAAGGCUUCCUUCUACAAAUGUUCAGUCACCUAACAUAAAUGCACUGUAGUUCUAGAAAUGAGAAGAAAGCCUGCAUUUGGUAGUUUUCUAUGCUGAAGUUGGGCUAAAAGGCUUUCUUCACAUCAUAAUUUGUUGCAACUUGUUGACAGAUGUGUGAAGUCGUGCGAGAUGUUGCAAACUAUUUCCCAACGGCAAUAAUUAGUGGAAGAUGACGUGAUAAGGCAUUGUCACGGAUGGCACAUGGCCCAAAUAUGCUAGUCAGUGCAUCGUAGCUGCCAAGUGGACUUUUGGGAUUACAAAUGUUCUGAAGACGGGUAUUGAUGCUGCCAAGUUCCUUGCAUAUUAAGAUAAGUUUACCAAAUUCAUUAUGCAAACCAAAGCUUAAACACUCUGCAACUGAAUGUUCAAACUCAGAGUUGUUGGAUGGUUGUAAUGAAUUCUCUAUAUCUUGGAUCCCCAUUCGCAUUGAGUUUGUGUUAGCAUUAGCAUCUAUUUUGAAGUCUCCGGGCUACUUUGACCCCUUUCCAUCUUGGUCACAUUCUUGUUUUUUUUUUUUUUUGGCUGACAUAUAUAUGGGGGCUAAUCCCUUCGCACUCAUCUCUCAUACAAACUCUGCUAUUUGUAGUUGGCAUAUGGUGGUAUCAAUGGUUGCAGGACAAACUGUACAACUGCCCCAUUGUUCGAGGCAUUUGGAGGAGUGCCCUUUCAGUCAGGUCCAUAUGAAUCCAUCCAAAAAAAAAAAAAAAAACAGGGGCAUGCAUUGGGUACAUCGCCGGUAUCAGUCAAAUACAUCCAAUACAACAUGGAGGCUGGAAUUUGAAUUUUGUUUUUUUUUUUUUU
Long non-coding RNA from Magnolia sinica, 976 nucleotides. RefSeq lists it as uncharacterized. The transcript has 4 exons. The record is from RefSeq and is a predicted model, not a curated record. Lineage: Eukaryota; Viridiplantae; Streptophyta; Magnoliopsida; Magnoliales; Magnoliaceae.